Molecule: ribosomal RNA, 720 nt
Filed under: uncultured organism
Description: bacterial SSU rRNA
Rfam family: Bacterial small subunit ribosomal RNA
Source: RNAcentral
AGUGGCAAACGGCUGAGUAACGCGUAGGAACCUACCCCAAACUCGAGUAUAGCCCCGCGAAAGCGGGGGUAAUCCUCGAUAGUCCGUGAAGUAUUUUACUUCACGGUAAAGCUUUUGCGGUUUGGGAUGGGCCUGCGUCCUAUCAGGUAGUUGGUGAGGUAAAUGCUCACCAAGCCUAUGACGGGUAGCUGGUCUGAGAGGAUGGUCAGCCAGACUGGGACUGCGACACGGCCCAGACUCCUACGGGAGGCAGCAACUAGGAAUUGUGCGCAAUGGACGAAAGUCUGACGCCGCGACAUCGCGUGGAGGAUGAAGGUCUUCGGAUUGUAAACUCCUUUUCUUACCGAACAAGUUCUGAGUGUAGGUAAGGAAUAAGUGCCUGCUAACCACGUGCCAGAAGCAUCGGUAAUACGUGGGGCACGAGCGUUAUCCGGAUUUACUGGGCGUAAAGAGAAGCGUAGGCGGCUCGAUAAGUUUGGUGUUAAAUCUUCCGGCUCAGCCGGAAACAAGCACCGAAAACUAUCGAGAUUGAGUCGAGUAGGGAAGAGGGGAAUUCCUGGUGGAGCGGUUAAAUGCGUAGAUAUCAGGAGGAAUACCAAGGGCGAAGGCACCUCUUUGGACUCGUACUGACGCUGAGGCUCGAAAGCGUGGGUAGCAAAACGGAUUAGAUACCCGUGUAGUCCGCGCCGUAAACGAUCCCUGUUAGAUGUAUGUUUUGUC